Molecule: unclassified non-coding RNA, 324 nt
Filed under: Hevea brasiliensis (rubber tree)
Lineage: Eukaryota; Viridiplantae; Streptophyta; Magnoliopsida; Malpighiales; Euphorbiaceae
Source: RNAcentral
UAGAUUAUGGUUCAUCAAGCUAUACAAGUUUUAUUCUUCAUUAGGUUCACAAACAAUGAGUGACAUUCCAAACACUUUCUGAAUCCAUCCUUGAUUUUAUUGACAAAUCAAUCUCUAAAACUUAAAACAUGGAUAGAAAUUUUAACCAGCUUGACUUAUAACUGCUUGUAUAUCUGUACCUGCAAGGAUAUACAAUUUGCAGCAGUAAAUACAGAAUAAAAGUUCAGAACCUUUGUGGCCAAAUAUUGAAAAUAUAUUCCAUAAAUGCUCAAAUGCCAACAUUAAACUAUUUAUAGCACUAAAACGACCGCCAACUUUGAAGAC